RNAcentral lists this ribosomal RNA (407 nucleotides) under uncultured bacterium. RNAcentral's name for it is "partial 16S ribosomal RNA". It matches the Rfam family "Bacterial small subunit ribosomal RNA", at positions 28 to 526 of the family's 1533-position model. The record is from RNAcentral.
GACGAACGCUGGCGGCGUGCCUAAUACAUGCAAGUAGAACGCAGAGGUGAACGGGUGAGUAAGGCGUAGGUAAAUGCCGCAUAGCGGGGGAUAAAUAUGGGAAACGAUAGCUAAUACCGCAUACUGUGAGAUGGAACGGCGUUUUAUUGGCGAGUUGGUGAGGUAAAGGCCCACCAAGGAGACGAUACAUAGCCGACCUGAGAGGGUGAUCCGCCCCACUGGGACUGAGGCACCGCCCAGACUCCUACGGGAGGCAGCAGUAGGGAAUCUUCGGCAAUUGACGGAAGUCCUACCGAGCAACGCCGCGUGAGGGAAUAAUGUUUUCGGAUCGUAAAGCUCUUUUGUGGUAGAAGCGUUAACUAACCAGAAAGGGACGGCUAACUACGUGCCAGCCGCCGCGGUAAUAC